Molecule: ribosomal RNA, 846 nt
Filed under: uncultured bacterium
Lineage: Bacteria
Description: SSU rRNA
Rfam family: Bacterial small subunit ribosomal RNA
Source: RNAcentral
AACGUAGGAACCGAGCGUUAUCCGGAUUCACUGGGCGUAAAGCGCCUGCAGGCGGUCUUGUAAGUUGGACGUGAAAUCUCCUGGCUCAACUGGGAGGGGCCGUUCAAUACUGCAGGGCUUGAGGGCAGAAGAGGGAAGUGGAAUUCCCGGUGUAGUGGUGAAAUGCGUAGAUAUCGGGAGGAACACCAGUGGCGAAGGCGGCUUCCUGGUCUGUACCUGACGCUAAGAGGCGAAAGCUAGGGGAGCGAACGGGAUUAGAAACCCCGGUAGUCCUAGCUGUAAACGAUGGACGCUAGGUGUAGGUGGUCCUAACCCCAUCUGUGCCGAAGCUAACGCGUUAAGCGUCCCGCCUGGGGACUACGACCGCAAGGUUAAAACUCAAAGGAAUUGACGGGGCCCCGCACAAGCAGCGGAGCGUGUGGUUUAAUUCGAUGCUACACGAAGAACCUUACCCGGGUUUGACAUGCAGGUGGUAGUGAAACGAAAGUGGAACGACCCUUCGGGGAGCUUGCACAGGUGCUGCAUGGCUGUCGUCAGCUCGUGCCGUGAGGUGUUGGGUUAAGUCCCCUAACGAGCGCAACCCUCGCCGCCAGUUACAAGUGUCUGGCGGGACUGCCGAUCUAAAAUCGGAGGAAGGUGGGGAUGACGUCAAGUCAGCAUGGCCUUUAUAUCCGGGGCUACACACACGCUACAAUGGCCAGUACAAUGGGUUGCCAACCCGCGAGGGGGAGCCAAUCCCACAAAGCUGGUCUCAGUUCGGAUUGGAGGCUGCAACCCGCCUCCAUGAAGCCGGAGUUGCUAGUAAACGCGCGUCAGCUAUAGUGCGUUGAAUACGUUCCCGGGGCU